UCCUACGGGAGGCAGCAGUAGGGAAUCUUCCGCAAUGGACGAAAGUCUGACGGAGCAACGCCGCGUGAGUGAUGAAGGUUUUCGGAUCGUAAAACUCUGUUGUCAGGGAAGAACAAGUACGAUAGUAACUGAUCGUACCUUGACGGUACCUGACCAGAAAGCCACGGCUAACUACGUGCCAGCAGCCGCGGUAAUACAA
This 199-nucleotide ribosomal RNA is filed under the name uncultured Oceanobacillus sp. Its description in RNAcentral is "partial 16S ribosomal RNA". It matches the Rfam family "Bacterial small subunit ribosomal RNA", at positions 337 to 528 of the family's 1533-position model. Lineage: Bacteria; Bacillati; Bacillota; Bacilli; Caryophanales; Bacillaceae. The record is from RNAcentral.